CUUUGCUCUGAAGUUGCUGCAGAAAUAGCGUUCAUCAAGCUAAUCAGGGUACUUUUCUUUUAUUCAUAUUGUUUGUUAUGAUCAAGUCCUUGGUAUCAUAUCAAUCCUGUUCUAAUUAGUUCAUUAAUGCUUUAUUUUGAAUUAGGCUAAACUUUUUUCAAUAGACAGUAUGUCAUCCAGUGUACCACCCCAUCAUUGCUCUGAUCACUACGAGUUGAAAAUGUCUGAAAGGCUUUAUAAAUGCGAUAAAUGCAAGAUGAUAGGGUUUGGAGAAAGAUAUGCAUGCCGUCUCUGUCGCAACUAUCUCCAUCGUGUAUGUAAGUACCCCAAAUCCAAGGCUACCCACGAGAAAUUUCCUGGCUACACUUUCAAAUAUCGUAGUAAACCAGACAUAAAAAUGUGUGAAAACAAUAGCAGAGAGUUUUUGAAGUGUUGCGAUGCAUGUGGAAAGGACAUAUGCGGUAUUAGCUACCGCUGUUACAAGGACAAAUCGAAAUCAUUGGAUUUGCAUCCAUGCUGUCUAAAACUUGAAAUGAAAAUAAUGAUCAAGGAUACGAAAUUUGAUCUUGUGCCAAAGGUUUCGUCCAAGUGUUAUAAGUGCGGAAAGUGGAAGACUUCUUGUGACAAGAGUCGGGGAUUGUCUUAUGUUUCCCAGUGCAAAAAUUAUAGUCUUCAUGUGUAUUGUGUAACUGAUAUGAUACAAGAGGCGUAUAUGAAGCGUAAGGAUUUGACAUUGAAGGUAAGUGAUUCACGAGAAUUAGUAAGAUAUAACGGAAAGGGAAAGGGUAAAAAUAACUACGUCAAGGUUGCCAAAAGCUUUAUCAAAAUUCUAGUUUCUUUUAUUUUGGGCGAUCCUACGGCGCUGAUUUCCCAUGCCAUUGUGGAGUGUGUCUUUCUCCUCUUCGGAAAGUAGUGUCUUUUUCUUCUUCUAUUUUUCAGUGUGGAUGAUAGUGUUUUGUUUGGUUCUCGUGAUUCAAUUCGUCUUUCCAAUCAUGAGACAUAGUUGUGGUACUUUUCUUGUACGUGAGUGAUGAUUAUUGCAAUAAACAUUUUAAUUUGAAUCGUCAUGUAGAGCAAGUAUUGAUAAAAAAUAAUAAUAAUAAUAAAUAAAUAAAAAAAUUCAUCAUAUUCAUUGUUUUGUCUCUAGUGGCGACUAUGCAUAUUGAACAUAAAUAAAAAUCUUGUUCAAUUGUGCAUAUUGAAUAUCAAUUAAAAUUUUGUGUCUCGAUUUCAG
Molecule: long non-coding RNA, 1234 nt
Filed under: Olea europaea subsp. europaea
Lineage: Eukaryota; Viridiplantae; Streptophyta; Magnoliopsida; Lamiales; Oleaceae
Source: RNAcentral